RNAcentral lists this non-coding RNA (73 nucleotides) under Pyramimonas parkeae. The record is from RNAcentral. Lineage: Eukaryota; Viridiplantae; Chlorophyta; Pyramimonadophyceae; Pyramimonadales; Pyramimonadaceae.
UCAACUGGGUGCACCACGUGAGGGAAGCACGCAUCCCGCACAUCGUGGGCGCGCUGGACGAGGCCAUGCUGGA